CAUGCAAGUCGAACGGGACGCCCUUCGGGACGUCUAGUGGCGAAAGGGUGAGUAACACGUGAGCAACCUGCCCCCGUGGGCGGAAUAAGCGCUGGAAACGGCGUCUAAAACCGCAUGAGGCUUCCGGAGCGCAUGCUCCGGUCUCCAAAUAUUCAUACCUUGGGGAUGGGCUCGCGGCCCAUUAGCUUGUUGGCGGGGUAACGGCCCACCAAGGCUGCGACGGGUAGGUGGUCUGAGAGGAUGGUCACCCACACUGGGACUGAGACACUGCCCAGACUCCUACGGGAGGCUGCAGUCGAGAAUCUUCCGCAAUGGGCGAAAGCCUGACGGAGCGAUGCCGCGUGAGGGACGAAGGUCUUCGGAUUGUAAACCUCUGUCAUCGGGGACGAACACCAUGACGGUACCCGAAAAGGAAGCCACGGCUAACCACGUGCCAGCAGCCGCGGUAACACGUGGGUGGCGAGCGUUAUUCGGAUUCACUGGGCGUAAAGGGUCCGCAGGGGGCCUGCCACGCCCGCCGUGAAAGCCCGGGGCUCAACCCCGGGACUGCGGCGGGUACGGGCGGGCUGGAGUGUGUGAUGGGCAGACGGAAUUCCAGGUGUAGCGGUGGAAUGCGUGGAUAUCUGGAAGAACACCGAUGGCGAAGGCGGUCUGCUGGCACAUCACUGACCCUCAGGGACGAGAGUGUGGGUAGCGAACAGGAUUAGAUACCCUGGUAGUCCACACCGUAAACGUUGUGCGCCAGAUGUUGAGCGGUCGGCCCGCUCAGCGUCCAAGCUAACGCGGUAAGCGCACCGCCUGGGGACUACGGCCGCAAGGCUACAACUCAAAGGAAUUGACGGA
Molecule: ribosomal RNA, 843 nt
Filed under: uncultured Lentisphaerota bacterium
Lineage: Bacteria; Pseudomonadati; Lentisphaerota
Description: bacterial SSU rRNA
Rfam family: Bacterial small subunit ribosomal RNA
Source: RNAcentral